CUCUAUGUCCCAAAUGGCACCCUAUUACCUACUGAGUGCACUACAACCAGUGCCCACAGGGUUUUAUAGGAACAUGAUACUUUAGACCAGGGCCCACAGGGCAUUAUAGGAACACGAUACUUUAGACCAGGGACAACAGGCAACUACUAUCCUGUCACCACUAUCCUGUCAUCUACCUCAACACUAUCCUGUCAUCUACCUCACCCCGGUCCUGUCAUAUUCUUCACCACUAUCCUGUCACCACUAUCCUGUCAUCUACAUCACCACUAUCCUGUCAGCUACAUCACCACUAUCCUAUCAUCUACCUCACCACUAUCCUGUCAUCUACCUCACCACUAUCCUGUCAUCUACCUCACCCCGGUCCUGUCAUCUACCUCACCACUAUCCAGACAUCUACCUCACCACUAUCCUGUCAUCUACCUCACCACUAUCCUGUCAUCUACCUCACCACUAUCCUGUCAUCUACCUCACCACUAUCCUGUCAUCUACAUCACCACUAUCCUGUCAUCUACCUCACCACUAUCCUGUCAUCUACCUCACCACUAUCCAGUCAUCUACCUCACCACUAUCCAGUCAUCUACCUCACAACUAUCCUGUCAUCUACAUCACCACUAUCCUGUCACCCCUAUCCUGUCAUCUACCUCAUAACUAUCCUGUCAUCUACCUCACCACUAUCCUGUCACCACUAUCCUGUCACCACUAUCCUGUCACCACUAUCCUGUCAUCUACCUUGCCACUAUCCUGUCAUCUACCUCACUACUAUUCUGUCAUCUACCUCACCACUAUUCUGUCAUCUACCUUACCACUAUUCUGUCAUCUGCAUUACCACUAUCCUGUCAUCUACCUCACCACUACCAUGUCACCUAACUCACUACUAUCCUGUCAUAUACCUCACUACUAUCCUGUCACCACUAUCCUGUCAUCUACCUCACCACUAUCCUGUCAUCUACCUCACCACUAUCCUGUCAUCUACCUUACCACUAUCCUGUCACCAUUAUCCAGUCAUCUACCUCACCACCAUCCUGUCACCUACCUCACUACUAUCCUGUCACCACUAUCCUAACAUCUACCUCAUGACUAUCCUGUCAUCGACCUAACUAAUAUCCUGUCAUCUACCUCACUACUAUCCUGUCACCACUAUCCUGUCAUCUACCUUACCACUAUCCUGUCAUCUACCUCAACACUAUCCUGUCAUCUAACUCACCACUAUCCAACAUCUACCUCACCACUAUCCAGUCAUCUACCUCACCACUAUCCAGUCAUCUACCUCACAACUAUCCUGUCAUCUACAUCACCACUAUCCUGUCACCACUAUCCUGUCACCACUAUCCUGUCACCACUAUCCUGUCAUCUACCUUGCCACUAUCCUGUCACCUACCUCACUACUAUUCUGUCAUCUACCUCACCACUAUUCUGUCAUCUACCUUACCACUAUUCUGUCAUCUGCCUUACCACUAUCCUGUCAUCUACCUCACCACUACCAUGUCACCUAACUCACUACUAUCCUGUCAUAUACCUCACUACUAUCCUGUCACCACUAUCCCGUCAUCUACCUCACCACUAUCCUGUCAUCUACCUCACCACUAUCCUGUCAUCUACCUUACCACUAUCCUGUCACCAUUAUCCAGUCAUCUACCUCACCACCAUCCUGUCACCUACCUCACUACUAUCCUGUCACCACUAUCCUAACACCUACCUCAUGACUAUCCUGUCAUCGACCUAACUAACUAUCCAGUCAUCUACCUCACCACUAUCCAGUCAUCUACCUCACCACUAUCCUGUCAUCUACCUCACCACUAUCCUGUCACCACUAUCCUGUCAUCGAUCUCACCACUAUCCUGUCAUCUACCUCACCAAUAUCCUGUCAUCUACCUCACCACUAUCCUGUCAUCUACCUCACCACUAUCCUGUCAACUACCUCAUCCCUAUCCUGUCAUCUACCUCACCACUAUCCUGUCAUCUACCUCACCACUAUCAUGUCACCACUAUCCUGUCAUCUACCUCACCACUAUCCUGUCAUCUACCUCACCACUAUCCUGUCACCUACCUCACCACUAUCCUGUCACCUACCUCACCACUAUCCUGUCACCUACCUCACCACUAUCCUGUCAUCUACUUCACCACUAUCCUGUCAUCUACCUCACCACUAUCCUGUCAACUACCUCACAACUAUCCUGUCAUCUACCUCACCACUAUCCUGUCACCACUAUCCUGUCAUCUACCUCACCACUAUCCUGUCACCACUAUCCUGUCACCACUAUCCUGUCACCACUAUCCUGUCAUCUACCUUGCCACUAUCCUCUCAUGUACCUCACUACUAUUCUGUCAUCUACCUCACCACUAUUCUGUCAUCUACCUUACCACUAUCCUGUCAUCUACCUCACCACUACCAUGUCACCUAACUCACUACUAUCCUGUCAUAUACCUCACUACUAUUCUGUCAUCUACCUCACUACUAUCCUGUCACCACUAUCCUGUCAUCUACCUCAACACUAUCCUGUCAUCUACCUCACCCCGGUCCUGUCAUAUUCUUCACCACUAUCCUGUCACCACUAUCCUGUCAUCUACCUCAUAACUAUCCUGUCAUCUACCUCACCACUAUCCUGUCACCACUAUCCUGUCACCACUAUCCUGUCACCACUAUCCUGUCAUCUACCUUGCCACUAUCCUGUCAUCUACCUCACUACUAUUCUGUCAUCUACCUCACCACUAUUCUGUCAUCUACCUCACCACUAUUCUGUCAUCUGCCUUACCACUAUCCUGUCAUCUACCUCACCACUACCAUGUCACCUAACUCACUACUAUCCUGUCAUAUACCUCACUACUAUCCUGUCACCACUAUCCUGUCAUCUACCUCAACACUAUCCUGUCAUCUACCUCACCCCGGUCCUGUCAUAUUCUUCACCACUAUCCUGUCACCACUAUCCUGUCAUCUACAUCACCACUAUCCUGUCAGCUACAUCACCACUAUCCUAUCAUCUACCUCACCACUAUCCUGUCAUCUACCUCACCACUAUCCUGUCAUCUACCUCACCCCGGUCCUGUCAUCUACCUCACCACUAUCCAGACAUCUACCUCACCAGUAUCCUGGAAUCUACCUCACCACUAUCCUGUCAUCUACCUCACCACUAUCCUGUCAUCUACCUCACCACUAUCCUGUCAUCUACCUCACCACUAUCCUGUCAUCUACCUCACCACUAUCCAGUCAUCUACCUCACCACUAUCCAGUCAUCUACCUCACCACUAUCCAGUCAUCUACCUCACCACUAUCCAGUCAUCUACCUCACCACUAUCCUGUCAUCUACCUCACCACUAUCCUGUCACCACUAUCCUGUCAUCGAUCUCACCACUAUCCUGUCAUCUACCUCACCACUAUCCUGUCAUCUACCUCACCACUAUCCUGUCAUCUACCUCACCACUAUCCUGUCAACUACCUCAUCCCUAUCCUGUCAUCUACCUCACCACUAUCCUGUCAUCUACCUCACCACUAUCAUGUCACCACUAUCCUGUCAUCUACCUCACCACUAUCCUGUCAUCUACCUCACCACUAUCCUGUCACCUACCUCACCACUAUCCUGUCACCUACCUCACCACUAUCCUGUCACCUACCUCACCACUAUCCUGUCACCUACUUCACCACUAUCCUGUCAUCUACCUUACCACUAUCCUGUCAUCUACCUCACCACUAUCCUGUCACCUAUCUCACCACUAUCCUGUCAUCUACUUCACCACUAUCCUGUCAUCUACCUCACCACUAUCCUGUCAACUACCUCACCACUAUCCUGUCAUCUACCUCACCACUAUCCUGUCAUCUACCUCACCACUAUCCUGUCAACUACCUCAUCCCUAUCCUGUCAUCUACUUCACCACUAUCCUGUUAUCUACAUCACCACUAUCCUGUCACCACUAUCCUGUCAACUACCUCAUCCCUAUCCUGUCAUCUACCUCACCGCUAUCCUGUCAUCUACCUCACCGCUAUCCUGUCAUCUACCUCACCGCUAUCCUGUCAUCUACCUCACCACUAUCCUGUCAUCUACCUCACCACUAUCCUGUCAACUACCUCAUCCCUAUCCUGUCAUCUACUUCACCACUAUCCUGUUAUCUACAUCACCACUAUCCUGUCACCACUAUCCUGUCAACUACCUCAUCCCUAUCCUGUCAUCUACCUCACCACUAUCCAGUCAUCUACCUCACCACUAUCCAGUCAUCUACCUCACAACUAUCCUGUCAUCUACAUCACCACUAUCCUGUCACCACUAUCCUGUCACCACUAUCCUGUCACCACUAUCCUGUCAUCUACCUUGCCACUAUCCUGUCACCUACCUCACUACUAUUCUGUCAUCUACCUCACCACUAUUCUGUCAUCUACCUUACCACUAUUCUGUCAUCUGCCUUACCACUAUCCUGUCAUCUACCUCACCACUAUCCUGUCACCACUAUCCUGUCACCACUAUCCUGUCACCACUAUCCUGUCAUCUACCUUGCCACUAUCCUGUCAUCUACCUCACUACUAUUCUGUCAUCUACCUCACCACUAUUCUGUCAUCUACCUCACCACUAUUCUGUCAUCUGCCUUACCACUAUCCUGUCAUCUACCUCACCACUACCAUGUCACCUAACUCACUACUAUCCUGUCAUAUACCUCACUACUAUCCUGUCACCACUAUCCUGUCAUCUACCUCAACACUAUCCUGUCAUCUACCUCACCCCGGUCCUGUCAUAUUCUUCACCACUAUCCUGUCACCACUAUCCUGUCAUCUACAUCACCACUAUCCUGUCAGCUACAUCACCACUAUCCUAUCAUCUACCUCACCACUAUCCUGUCAUCUACCUCACCACUAUCCUGUCAUCUACCUCACCCCGGUCCUGUCAUCUACCUCACCACUAUCCAGACAUCUACCUCACCAGUAUCCUGGAAUCUACCUCACCACUAUCCUGUCAUCUACCUCACCACUAUCCUGUCAUCUACCUCACCACUAUCCUGUCAUCUACCUCACCACUAUCCUGUCAUCUACCUCACCACUAUCCAGUCAUCUACCUCACCACUAUCCAGUCAUCUACCUCACCACUAUCCAGUCAUCUACCUCACCACUAUCCAGUCAUCUACCUCACCACUAUCCUGUCAUCUACCUCACCACUAUCCUGUCACCACUAUCCUGUCAUCGAUCUCACCACUAUCCUGUCAUCUACCUCACCACUAUCCUGUCAUCUACCUCACCACUAUCCUGUCAUCUACCUCACCACUAUCCUGUCAACUACCUCAUCCCUAUCCUGUCAUCUACCUCACCACUAUCCUGUCAUCUACCUCACCACUAUCAUGUCACCACUAUCCUGUCAUCUACCUCACCACUAUCCUGUCAUCUACCUCACCACUAUCCUGUCACCUACCUCACCACUAUCCUGUCACCUACCUCACCACUAUCCUGUCACCUACCUCACCACUAUCCUGUCACCUACUUCACCACUAUCCUGUCAUCUACCUUACCACUAUCCUGUCAUCUACCUCACCACUAUCCUGUCACCUAUCUCACCACUAUCCUGUCAUCUACUUCACCACUAUCCUGUCAUCUACCUCACCACUAUCCUGUCAACUACCUCACCACUAUCCUGUCAUCUACCUCACCACUAUCCUGUCAUCUACCUCACCACUAUCCUGUCAACUACCUCAUCCCUAUCCUGUCAUCUACUUCACCACUAUCCUGUUAUCUACAUCACCACUAUCCUGUCACCACUAUCCUGUCAACUACCUCAUCCCUAUCCUGUCAUCUACCUCACCGCUAUCCUGUCAUCUACCUCACCGCUAUCCUGUCAUCUACCUCACCGCUAUCCUGUCAUCUACCUCACCACUAUCCUGUCAUCUACCUCACCACUAUCCUGUCAACUACCUCAUCCCUAUCCUGUCAUCUACUUCACCACUAUCCUGUUAUCUACAUCACCACUAUCCUGUCACCACUAUCCUGUCAACUACCUCAUCCCUAUCCUGUCAUCUACCUCACCACUAUCCAGUCAUCUACCUCACCACUAUCCAGUCAUCUACCUCACAACUAUCCUGUCAUCUACAUCACCACUAUCCUGUCACCACUAUCCUGUCACCACUAUCCUGUCACCACUAUCCUGUCAUCUACCUUGCCACUAUCCUGUCACCUACCUCACUACUAUUCUGUCAUCUACCUCACCACUAUUCUGUCAUCUACCUUACCACUAUUCUGUCAUCUGCCUUACCACUAUCCUGUCAUCUACCUCACCACUACCAUGUCACCUAACUCACUACUAUCCUGUCAUAUACCUCACUACUAUCCUGUCACCACUAUCCCGUCAUCUACCUCACCACUAUCCUGUCAUCUACCUCACCACUAUCCUGUCAUCUACCUUACCACUAUCCUGUCACCAUUAUCCAGUCAUCUACCUCACCACCAUCCUGUCACCUACCUCACUACUAUCCUGUCACCACUAUCCAGUCAUCUACCUCACCACUAUCCAGUCAUCUACCUCACCACUAUCCUGUCAUCUACCUCACCACUAUCCUGUCACCACUAUCCUGUCAUCGAUCUCACCACUAUCCUGUCAUCUACCUCACCAAUAUCCUGUCAUCUACCUCACCACUAUCCUGUCAUCUACCUCACCACUAUCCUGUCAACUACCUCAUCCCUAUCCUGUCAUCUACCUCACCACUAUCCUGUCAUCUACCUCACCACUAUCCUGUCAUCUACCUCACCACUAUCCUGUCAACUACCUCAUCCCUAUCCUGUCAUCUACUUCACCACUAUCCUGUUAUCUACAUCACCACUAUCCUGUCACCACUAUCCUGUCAACUACCUCAUCCCUAUCCUGUCAUCUACCUCACCACUAUCCAGUCAUCUACCUCACCACUAUCCAGUCAUCUACCUCACAACUAUCCUGUCACCUACCUCACCACUAUCCUGUCAUCUACUUCACCACUAUCCUGUCAUCUACCUUACCACUAUCCUGUCAUCUACCUCACCACUAUCCUGUCACCUAUCUCACCACUAUCCUGUCAUCUACUUCACCACUAUCCUGUCAUCUACCUCACCACUAUCCUGUCAACUACCUCACCACUAUCCUGUCAUCUACCUCACCACUAUCCUGUCAUCUACCUCACCACUAUCCUGUCAACUACCUCAUCCCUAUCCUGUCAUCUACUUCACCACUAUCCUGUUAUCUACAUCACCACUAUCCUGUCACCACUAUCCUGUCAACUACCUCAUCCCUAUCCUGUCAUCUACCUCACCGCUAUCCUGUCAUCUACCUCACCGCUAUCCUGUCAUCUACCUCACCGCUAUCCUGUCAUCUACCUCACCGCUAUCCUGUCAUCUACCUCACCGCUAUCCUGUCAUCUACCUCACCACUAUCCUGUCAUCUACCUCACCACUAUCCUGUCAUCUACCUCACCACUAUCCUGUCAUCUACCUCACCACUAUCCUGUCAUCUACCUCACCAAUAUCCUGUUAUCUGCCUCACCACUAUCCUGUCAUCUACCUCACCACUAUCCUGUCAUCUACCUCACUACUAUCCUGUCAUCUACCUCACCACUACCCUGUCACCACUAUCCAGACAUCUACCU
This 7581-nucleotide long non-coding RNA is filed under the name Oncorhynchus mykiss (rainbow trout). RNAcentral describes it as "lncRNA (ENSOMYG00000054479.1)". Lineage: Eukaryota; Metazoa; Chordata; Actinopteri; Salmoniformes; Salmonidae. The record is from RNAcentral.